This 238-nucleotide unclassified non-coding RNA is filed under the name Hevea brasiliensis (rubber tree). The record is from RNAcentral. Lineage: Eukaryota; Viridiplantae; Streptophyta; Magnoliopsida; Malpighiales; Euphorbiaceae.
GCAGGGUAUGAGAGAUUUAUCAGCACAAGAAAUCGGAGUGGUGCAUGACUUCCUCUAAAUCCUCAUCACGACGCCCAGCAGCAGCAGACGGCAGUCAAGGGCUCUAGGUGCUUCUUAACGAGAUAGAGAACAGACGCGGCCAAGAGGAUAGAGGCAAAAGGAGUAAACGAAGAAGAAGAAUGGGUAUGAGGCAGAGAAAGCGAAGUGUUGAAGUAUGGAAGAGAAAAUGAGGGACGAG